GACGCUCCUACUCAUCUCUCUUCAAGAUUUUGAGCCCUAAUUAGGGCAUACAGGCCCACCAAGCCCAUUUCAAUGUCAUGCGCGACUCCAACGGUCGAACCCUAGUGUAACCACCAUUGUUUCAUCUCUAUCCAGAGCCCAAAAAACGAUCCAAAACUCGAAACCCCUCUCUCUUCCCCGUCUGCGAACCAAUGGAACCAUCCCAAACUGAUAGAUAAACCUCUCCAUUUCCAUCCUCCAAAAAACCCUAACCCUAACCCUAGAAAAUGAGAAACCAUUGGCGUUUGCUUCUCCUCCGGUGUUACUCUCGCUCUCACUCCACCAUCUCCAUAUUCGGCUCUCAAUUCCAGGUACACUCUUCUCCCAACUCUCGCUCCUUUUCUUCACUCCUCCACCCACGUGCACCUCACGUGUUCCCACCAUCUUUCGGUUCUCAAUCUCAAAGCCCUAAAAUCACUAGUGUUCGAUUUUUCUCUUCAUCUGAACUCGCUAUCGAACACAAAGGGUCAGAUCAAGUCGGUGCUGUGAUCGAAGUUUUUUCUAAACCCGAAACAAGUAAUGAUGAUAUUAAGAUGGAAUUAGAGUCUAAUAAUGUAGUUAUUAGCCACGACUUGGUGUUAAAGGUCUUGAAAAAUCCUGAUACGUCUUAUGAUGUUGCUCGGAGGUUUUUUGAUUGGAUUUCUGAGAGAGAAAACGAGCGAUUGAGCUCGAAGUCGUAUAAUUUGAUGUUGGGUAUAUUGGGUGUGAAUGGGUAUGUGAAGGAGUUCUGGGAUUUGGUUGGAAUUAUGAAGAAGAAAGGUUAUGGAGUGUUAAGGGCCACGCAUGUUAGGGUUUCUGAGAAAUUUGAGAAAGAAGGACGGGUUGGUGAUUUGGAGAAGUUGAAAGAGUUGUUUGCAUCCGGAUCAAUAGAUAAUUCGAUCGAAAAAAUGUGUUCCAGAGUUUCUAAGGUGAUUCGGAAAGAAGUGUGGGGUGAUAAAGUUGAAAAGCAGUUACGGGAACUGAAUAUUCCAUUUUCUAGUAAUUUGGUCACAAUGGUUUUGGAAAAUAUUGGGACAGAACCCAAUAAGGCUUUGAUAUUUUUCCGGUGGAUUGAGGAGAGUAAUUUAUUAGAACACGGUGGGCAGACUUACAAUGCUAUGGUGGGUGUGUUGGGCAGGGAGGACUGCCUUGAUAAGUUUUGGAGGGUGGUUGAUGAAAUGAAGGUUGCUGGGUAUGAAAUGGAGAGAGGAACAUACCUUAAGGUUUUGGGGCGUUUUAUUAAGAGGAAAAUGAUCAAGGAUGCUGUAGAUUUGUAUGAGUUUGCAUUGAAUGGUGCAAAUAAGCCUUCAGAGCAGGAUUGCACCUUUCUUUUGAGAAAAAUUGUGGUCGAUAAAGAGCUAGAUAUGGACUUAUUUCUGAAAGUUGUGAAGGCUUUUACAAAUUCUGGGAAUCUGUUGAAGAAUUCGACCCUUGACGCAGUUCUGAAAUCCUUAAUCAGUGUUGGUAGGUUUGGAGAAUGUAAUAAUAUCUUGAAAGCAAUGAAGGAAGUUGGUUUCUUACCAGGUGCUACUUUGCAGAGUAAAAUUGCCUUCCGGCUUAGUAGUGAUGGGGAAAAGGACAGAGCAAGUGAAUUUUUGGAUACUAUUGAAGCAUCUGGGUGUAAUCCAAAUUACAAGAUGUGGUUGUCUUUAGUUGAAGGAAACUGUGUUGCUGGUGAUCUUGAUCAUGCUUCUGCUUGUCUCAAAAAGAUGGUUGAAAAGGAGGGGGCCGCCUCUGCUGGGUAUGCUCUCCAACCGUUGGUUAAUGCAUAUUGCCGUAAGAACAGAGCAGUGGAUGCGUGCAAGCUUCUUUCUGAUUUGGUCACUGAGAACGAAUUAAAACCUUGGCAUCCUACAUACAAAGUAUUGAUAAGCGAUUUACUGGUUCAUGGAGGUUUUAAAGAAGCUUUGAACCUUCUGGGCUUGAUGAAAAAUCAGGGGUUCCCACCUUUCUUAGAUCCAUUUAUUAAAUACCUUUCAAAGAAGGGGACUGCUGAUGAUGCUAUGAUGUUCUUGAAAGCAAUUACUUCGGAGAGGUUUCCGUCUGCGUCAGUGUUUCUCAAUGUCUUUGAAGCGUAUUUCAAGGCUGGAAGGAAAAAUGAAGCACAAGAUCUCCUUUCUAGAUGCCCGGGAUACAUCCGAAACAAUGCUGAUGUUUUGAAUCUUUUCUUUUCCAUGAAAUCUGCUGAAGCAGCUACCGUCACUGCUGUGGCUGCUUAGGAUUUAGCUGGGUGUAUCUUGUAUUGUAUUUUGCGAGGAUGAAGUAGUAUGCAAGCUUUGAAAAUUUUGGGAGUGAGGUUGGAAGUAUGGUUUGAUGAUGUGUUACUGCUCCGUUGGGUCAAGAUCAGUUGGUCACAUUUUAUAGACUUUACGGUAUGGAUCUACCUAUUAUUAAUUAUAAGGAGCUGGACUAAUUUUUAUUAUAAAGAUGAAUGCUAUGGUUGCCUGCUGCUUCUGAAGUGAGUGAUGAUGAGGGAACUGUUUCUAAGGUUAAGUAUAUGAAUUUAUUUUCUACUUUCUGUUGUAAAUAUCUGCAUUUGAGUUUGUUUUCGCUUCUUAAUUUGAUUGGUUAUAGCUUCAAAAUAUUUGGGAUAUUAGCUAUUAUAUAAUAUUGUUCUGUUUAAGCAAUGCCUGCAACGGAAUGUUCACUGGAUUGUUGAACUCGCUCUCUUUCUUGCGGCCAGAAAGUUUCACUAUUCACAUGCUUUUGAGCCUUGAUUGUUUGUUUAAAUAUGUUGUUCAACGAUGUGGGGAAAUAAUUUAUCAGUUCCCAUCUUUGUCAUUGUUUCCUUUGUAUCUUAGAUAUAUUUUUUUGUUCAAUGGCUUUAUAUUUUUAUAUUUUUAUUAUCAGUCACUGAUCACAAAGAGAAAAAGAGGUAGAUAAUAGUUUUUUGUUUUAUCUGCUUCAGUAGGAAUGCACUGUUAUCUUGUUUCAGAUAAUCAUUAUGUGUUUAUGACAUGAAUGAAGGUACUAAUCGAUUCCAAAUUUCCAAUUUUAAUAAGGCUCCUAAAAAGUGAGCCACUUCCUGCAACCUUCUGUUUUUUCUUUCACUUAUCAUAUAUUUAAAGUUGUGUUUCUUUUUUUUUUCUUAUAGUUGGGAAACUUAUUCCAUUUAUUUUUUCUUAUAAUACUUUACGAAUUGUGUAAUUGAAAUACUAGAUUGGGCUACUAUUGUAUUGUUUUCAACUUCAAUAGGUUCUGUAAUAUCUAAUUUCUAAUACUUAAUUACGUACUUACCAGCAAUACAAUCUGUUUGUUGUUGAUUUAUACUACUAUAAAGUCGCAGAUGGUGCAUCUUAAUAUCUUUACCAGUAUCACUUGUUUAAAGGAAAGAUGUGUAAAUGUUUUACUGUGGAUGAAUUAAUUCAUAUUCCUCAAUGAUAAAUCUGAUAUUGGCAACCUCUUAUUCCUCCAUCUGAUAAAAAAAACCUAUUAUUCCUCCAUCUGAUAAAAAAAACCUAUUAUUCCUCCCUUCAUUAUGGUCCAGAUCUGAGAUUUACCAAAUUCCCUUGCUUGAAUCAGUGUUCUAAUUCCAGGCAAUAGUGGACAUGUCAACUGCUCUUUGUUCUGGAUUCUUCUGUUAAACACGAUGGUGUUGGAAAAUAUACCGUUAAAGGGUUAUAUUGCAUGUUCAAAAAGCAGAGGCCCUAAACAUGGCACUAUAGAAAUUCUGAAAGCAGGUAUGCGUGGAGAUAGAUUAUAAUGUUUGCAUUUGGCCAAUACUUGGUGUUGCCUUGGCUUGUAUGAAUUUCAGACAUCAUUAAUUGACUGCAGGUGCACAUGCCGGUGUCCACACAUCUACACACCCACAUUUGUGUGUCUCGAAAUAAGAUGAAUAUAGAAAAUGACUUUACCUUGAGUCCUUCCCAUGGGUUUUUUGUUAUUUCCCUUGUUGUCACUAUUGCCUUGGUGUCUACAUGAAAUUAAUUGCAUCAGCUUUUUAGGGGUAUUGGGUUGGGGUGCUGCAGUUCCAUUAUGGUAGCUUAGUGAAUCGAAUGAGACUUUUCGAUGAGCAAAACGCAACGAGUGUGACUGAACUAGCGACCCACUCAAGUUUGUUUACGCCCUCCUCUCUUCUCUUAAUAUAAAUUGUGAAAAUCUCACUUGAAGCCUUCUAUUUCAAAAUUUCAAUCACUCUAGCUGACAUGUUUUGGAAUGUAGGUAAGAAACAAUGGACAACUGAUAUUCCAACAGACAAUAUGACAAAAAUGCCAUCAAGUUGUGAUGAUUAGUAGCUAUUACAACGGGGGGUGCAUGGCCUCUGUUAUGGCAGAAUUCGAUUGCAGAAGGGGGGGCUAACAAUAGGAACAAAAUCUUUUAAUUCUACUCGCGUGUUGGUGCCAAGGUAUACAGAUUUACAAGUUUAAAACUACUAGGUCUUUGAUGUCUUUUUCAGACUGUUAAAACAUAUAAUCCAUUACAAGGGUAAAGGUAGGCCACUAUGUCCCCGGACACACACACACUCCAUUCCAUGUUGGUACCAUAUUUGUGUUUCAGCAAGUGAGCUUUUUAGUUAACUUUCAUGUCAUUGAGUGUCUCAAAUUGUAAUUUUUUUCCCUACCUAUUUUUCUGAGCCUAAAAGGCAUGGCUGAAAAACAUUGAUCAAUGACAUUUCUUUAG
Cornus florida is the source of this 4638-nucleotide RNA transcript. It is a transcript of the gene named pentatricopeptide repeat-containing protein At3g02490, mitochondrial-like, with no coding region annotated. The record is from RefSeq and is a predicted model, not a curated record. NCBI's taxonomy places the organism in Eukaryota, Viridiplantae, Streptophyta, Magnoliopsida, Cornales, Cornaceae. The transcript is spliced from 4 exons.